ACUCCUACGGGAGGCAGCAGUGGGGAAUAUUGCACAAUGGGCGCAAGCCUGAUGCAGCGACGCCGCGUGCGGGAUGAAGGCCUUCGGGUUGUAAACCGCUUUCAGCAGGGAAGAAGCGAAAGUGACGGUACCUGCAGAAGAAGCACCGGCUAACUAUGUGCCAGCAGCCGCGGUAAUAC
RNAcentral lists this ribosomal RNA (179 nucleotides) under uncultured bacterium. Its description in RNAcentral is "partial 16S ribosomal RNA". It matches the Rfam family "Bacterial small subunit ribosomal RNA", at positions 335 to 526 of the family's 1533-position model. The record is from RNAcentral.